AAGUGAUCAGUCUCAGAGAGACCACCAAGACAUAGAACCAGGAUAAGUGAUCAGUCUCAGAGAGACCACCAAGACAUAGAACCAAGGAUAAGACAAUGAAUUACAAAACAAAGAUUCACCUUUCUCUAAUGCUGUUUAGAACAUUAAAGCACAGAAAAAUGUCAAUAAAAUGUCUCUCAUACUGUAUUAUACAUACAAUGAUUUCUACCACACACCCAUUGCACUUAUGGCUAUGACAACCCGUGUAUCCUGCAAUCAUCAAAAGUUGCUCACAUUUUUGUUUAUUUAUUUCAUUUCUACUGGUUCAUGUUUUGCUGCUCACUGUCAUGGAAUUACUCUACAUUCAGUCAUCACAUUCAUUUGAUCUUGCCUGUACCCACUAUGUCAUACAUAUACACUCAGUCAUCACAUUCAUUUGAUCU
Non-coding RNA from Biomphalaria pfeifferi, 422 nucleotides. The record is from the annotation of a GenBank genome assembly. NCBI's taxonomy places the organism in Eukaryota, Metazoa, Mollusca, Gastropoda, Planorbidae.